Long non-coding RNA from Corapipo altera (White-ruffed manakin), 376 nucleotides. RefSeq lists it as uncharacterized. The transcript has 3 exons. The record is from RefSeq and is a predicted model, not a curated record. Lineage: Eukaryota; Metazoa; Chordata; Aves; Passeriformes; Pipridae.
AGUUGUAUGUAGGCCUUCCACUGCUGUCCAAAGAGGCUGAAAUCAUACACCAAUAGAGCAGUUUCUGCUUUUCCAGGACUGUAAUAUUUUAGUCCAUUUGAGGUUGGAAAUUUACAAGAUGGACUGUAGAUGACUUCUCUUGGCAUCCAUCCUUGUGGCUCAACACUUUGCAAGAUCUAUGCAGCCAACAGCACGAGGAAAGCAUUUCCAGAGGAUUCAUUGUAAUCUGCCUUUCAGUGGCAAUAACAGAUGUCUGGCAAUAGUGAUUGUGAGGGAUUAAACCACACUCAGUUAAGAAAGCCUUGAAAAAAUUAAACUGCUAAACACUACUGAGUCUGUGCUGAGUAUUUACAAGCUAUUUUUUAAUUUAUUUCAU